GACGAACGCUGGCGGCGUGCUUAACACAUGCAAGUCGAACGGAAAGGCCCUGCUUUUGUGGGGUGCUCGAGUGGCGAACGGGUGAGUAACACGUGAGUAACCUGCCCUUGACUUUGGGAUAACUUCAGGAAACUGGGGCUAAUACCGGAUAGGAGCUCCUGCUGCAUGGUGGGGGUUGGAAAGUUUCGGCGGUUGGGGAUGGACUCGCGGCUUAUCAGCUUGUUGGUGGGGUAGUGGCUUACCAAGGCUUUGACGGGUAGCCGGCCUGAGAGGGUGACCGGCCACAAUGGGACUGAGAUACGGCCCAGACUCCUACGGGAGGCAGCAGUGGGGAUUAUUGCACAAUGGGCGGAAGCCUGAUGCAGCAACGCCGCGUGCUGGAUGACGGCCUUCGGGUUGUAAACCGCUUUCGCCUGUGACGAAGCGUGAGUGACGGUAAUGGGUAAAGAAGCACCGGCUAACUACGUG
This 468-nucleotide ribosomal RNA is filed under the name uncultured bacterium. RNAcentral's name for it is "partial 16S ribosomal RNA". It matches the Rfam family "Bacterial small subunit ribosomal RNA", at positions 28 to 507 of the family's 1533-position model. The record is from RNAcentral.